Zootermopsis nevadensis is the source of this 2297-nucleotide non-coding RNA. NCBI's taxonomy places the organism in Eukaryota, Metazoa, Arthropoda, Insecta, Blattodea, Termopsidae. The record is from RefSeq and is a predicted model, not a curated record.
AUAUGGAAUAUUAACCUUGGCAUUGAUCUCCAUGUGUUGUGUUUACGUGGGGGCCUAGUGUGGUCAACACUUAACAGAUGGCACCACAAUAUAUGCUGAUGCGCAGAAUUGAGAAGGUUCCAAUGAGUUUCGAGCAACGCAAAUUAAUUUUGAAGAGGUAAUAUAAAUUCGAGAAUGUGCUUGAAGUGAAAAUUUAAAUUUGAAUUUAAAACGACUCUACCAACACGAGUAACAAUUAUAAGAAAUCGAGACAAAUGUGAGACGUUCGAUACUUGUACAACAUGCGUAAGCAACUACUAUAAGGUAGACCGCGCACAUCAACGAGUGAGGACACUUCUGCUAUGGUAUUACAGCAGUUCGCACGAUCGCUGAAGGAAUCUUUAAGGCGAUGAGAUCGAGAUUUCCAACUCAAGUGCACAACGGAUUCUCGAAACAUGCAUAAGUGGAAAAACAACGCACCAAGGUUAUUGCGUGCAAUGGCUGAAAACGAUCCUGGCCGCAGAUUUGAGUUUUUGAGAAUGGAUUCAGAAGGAGGUGGGUGAGAAUGGACAGUUUCUGGCACUGAUGAGGCGACAUUUAAGCUGAAUUCCCAACCAACAACAGUUCAAGAGCUCUGGCAAGAAAUUGAACAGUCUUGCGCAUGCGCCGGAGCAGAAGCUGUGGUGUCCACUUGUCAGUCAGUUGUUCACCGCUGUCAACUGCGCCACGAAGCUAACGGUGGCAAUUUUGAGCACCUGCACUAGAUUCGCCAAUUCACUAAGCGCCAAUGCUGACAUGAUGAAGGCUUCUUUUUCUUAUUUCACGAUGCUGAGUCAGCUCAACGGGUCUUAAUGAGUCUACAUCCGCCAGUAACUAGGCCUGGGAUCUGUGCAACCAUCAAGCAGAAUAUUUACUGCAAAUAAGAGAACAAAAAACUUUUCCACGUAAUCAGUUACUUUGGCAGAAUUUUAAUAUGUAAUAUCACGUUAAAUGUCACUGUAAUACUGUAAAGAAACGACUGUCAUUGUAUAGUUAAUACUUUAUUUAGUAUAUGUUUUAGGGUUACAUAUUUUAUGUAGACGCAAAAUAUACGCGAGCUUCAGCCACGUCACUGAAUGAGGGGAAGGAAAAUGUAAAUCCACAGAAUUUUCAAAACGCUGACAACACACCAAUGUAUUUUGUGGACUUCACACGCGUUUUUCUGAAACUGUCAUCCAACCUCGGAAUUAUUUUGCCGCCAUUAUAACUGCAAAAUAAACACAAUCACCAGGAAUUUAUUUCAAAUUCACGAAAAAUUUAUUGUAAACUGGAUUACAUAUCCCACGAUUUACGAUUCUUUAAAUUAAUUAUAUAAUUUAUUGCGUCGUUAAUUUGUUUAGAACCGUUGUUAUGUUUUGAAAUUACGAUGCCUACAUUUUAGUUAGAACAUGACUUUCCAAAAUAUUCACAUUCAAUAAAAAAUUUAAAAAAAAAAAUGGAAUAUUAAAACAAAACGUUUAAUUAUACAUCCCUUUAAUGGAAGUCAUUUUUGUUUUUUUAACAAGUAACUCUGCUGUACGAUCACUGACUAUAAUGCAUUCUGUGCAAUUCUGCAUGAAACACAUUAAAACUCUGUAUCAUCACUGAAAAACAAAAUUCUGAACUAUUGAUCGUAAUUUAAAUAAAAGAAUCUUAAACAGCUGUUUCUAUUAUUCUGUAUAGUUAACCUCCCCAAAAUUACUCGGAGGGUCUUUCCAUGUGUUUCCGGAUACAGUUAAUCGUAGGAAUCGAUUCCAAAGAUUCUGAACCCGUUUUUAUGUACAGAGGGACCUAGAUGAUAAAUUGACACCGAUAUUUGGGAUUAUGUCCAUGUCGAGACUUAUUUUUGGCUAUGAAGAACACAUACGAACACACAUGCACUAAGAGGGAGUCGAACUCUAGAUCCCAAGGUUUUGUCGGCACAGAAACGAGCGUCUACGGCCCUGGUAAUAGCUGGACGACAUUUAAAAAUGUUUGCGAAAAACAAUGGUUUUGAUAAAUUUGUCGCAUCGAUUAAAAUGAAAUUAACCAGAUUUUGUGAGAUAAUUAAGAUAACUGUCUUUAGGUAUGUUAUGUUUUUAUGCGUCUGGUAGAAGUUUACCAACGUUUCAGAGGUCCUUGUUGCCUCAAUCAUCAGGGCGAUAACAUUUAAUGGUAACCAACCGAGCAGUUUCGAAGUUAAAAUUCAGAAAUUCUUGUAGUAAAUUAUGAGUUCAUUUUAAGACUUUUGUGUAAAGCGUCCAUUAUAUCUAAAUCAUAUUUCCAUUUAAUACCGAAAUAAAACAUGCAGUAAACUUUCA